UCGUCAGGUGGGAUAAUCCUUACCUGUUCCUCCUUCGGGAGGGCAGAUCGGAACAUGAUGAUUGGAGUUCGCAUGACUCGUGAUUAACGUCUCUGCGUAAUCAGGACUUGCAACACCCUGAUUGCUCCUAUCUGAU
RNAcentral lists this small nucleolar RNA (136 nucleotides) under Panthera tigris altaica (Amur tiger). RNAcentral describes it as "U8 small nucleolar RNA (ENSPTIG00000004967.1)". It matches the Rfam family "U8 small nucleolar RNA". From Rfam's summary of the family: U8 is a member of the C/D class of snoRNA which contain the C (UGAUGA) and D (CUGA) box motifs. U8 is the RNA component of a small complex (the U8 snoRNP) which is required for accumulation of mature large subunit ribosomal RNAs, 5.8S and 28S rRNAs. Lineage: Eukaryota; Metazoa; Chordata; Mammalia; Carnivora; Felidae. The record is from Rfam by way of RNAcentral.